RNAcentral lists this ribosomal RNA (217 nucleotides) under uncultured bacterium. RNAcentral's name for it is "partial 16S ribosomal RNA". It matches the Rfam family "Bacterial small subunit ribosomal RNA", at positions 125 to 334 of the family's 1533-position model. The record is from RNAcentral.
CCCGUCCUUAGUCGGGGGAGGUAACUAUUGGAAACGAUAGCUAAUACCGCAUAAAAGUACGAUAUCGCAUGAUAUUGACUUGAGAGGUGCAAUUGCAUCACUAAGAGAUGGACCUGCGUUGUAUUAGCUAGUUGGUGAGGUAACGGCUCACCAAGGCGACGAUACAUAGCCGACCUGAGAGGGUGAUCGGCCACACUGGGACUGAGACACGGCCCAG